AGCAGUAGCCGCGGUAAUACGAAGGGGGCUAGCGUUGUUCGGAAUCACUGGGCGUAAAGAGCACGUAGGCGGAUCUUUAAGUCAGAGGUGAAAUCCCGAGGCUCAACCUCGGAACUGCCUUUGAUACUGGGGAUCUCGAGUCCGGGAGAGGUGAGUGGAACUGCGAGUGUAGAGGUGGAGUUCGUAGAUAUUCGCAAGAACACCAGUGGCGAAGGCGGCUCACUGGCCCGGAACUGACGCUGAGGUGCGAAAGCGUGGGGAGCAAACAGGAUUAGAUACCCCAGUAGUCCCUGUCUUUUAUAC
Molecule: ribosomal RNA, 303 nt
Filed under: uncultured bacterium
Lineage: Bacteria
Description: partial 16S ribosomal RNA
Rfam family: Bacterial small subunit ribosomal RNA
Source: RNAcentral